Pteropus alecto (black flying fox) is the source of this 1971-nucleotide long non-coding RNA. RefSeq lists it as uncharacterized. The transcript is spliced from 2 exons. Lineage: Eukaryota; Metazoa; Chordata; Mammalia; Chiroptera; Pteropodidae. The record is from RefSeq and is a predicted model, not a curated record.
UUUGGAGAAUAGUAAUUAAAUAUUUAACUUAUGAAGAGUAAUAUUGGAGGUUCCUUAACAGGUGGAUAUAGCAUACUUUGAUAAUAACUGCUGCUUAUUGAUUCUUUAAAGUAAUUCUCGAACACUUCUAAAAACAGUACUGUGUGUCUGCUUUUAAAUUAUCCACUUUCUCUGUCAGAUUUCUGAUAUUUAAGGUCCUAGGGAACCGAAUGCUUUUUAAUUUAUUUUUUUACUUUGCUGCUUGCCUGCCUGCCUUCCCCUCCCUCCCCUCCCUUUCUCGCCCCUUCCCUCUCUUCUCCUCCCCUCCGUUCAUUUGUUUGCAAUUUUUUGAGUUUAUUUGAGUGAAACUGAAGAUAUAUGCCAAGGAGCAAGAUAUCACAUGUUCCCACUAUUUGCUUUAUUCUUGCAUUUCUAACUUAUUAAGCAUAUUUGAGGGGGAUAAAGAUAUCACUGCCAUCUUUCCCUUUUUUAGUCAUAUAUUAUUAAGAAUGUGUAUUACUUUCUUAAAUUCCUUUACAUAGGAACCUAAAAAAUGAGAUCCUAGAAAAGAUGAUUAAUUCAUUUAUUCAAAUUUUAAGUCAGUGUAUUCGUGCCUGAUAAUGUGUGAGAUGUUUUGUAUAGGUUAGUUCAUUUAAUUUCUAUAAUAAUGUGAUUAAGACUGAUUUACCACAGAAUUGAAUAAAAACAGGGAUGAUUUGGUAAGAGCUGCAUCUAUUUAUGUAUAUAUGUAUGUAUGUAUUAUAUUGUCACAUUCCUUUUAUACUAAUAUAUGUUGCAUUGCAAAUGGCAGAACAGCAAAGUCUGAUAGUUUUUCAUGUCUUGAUAGAAUAGAUUCUCUCAUGGUCAUAUGUAUGUACUUAUCUCAAACUCAAAUAUAAAUCAGCUUUAAGUAGCCUUCUGUUUUGAUAUAUAUUACACACUUGGCCAAACAAGGUAUGUCUAUUGUUAUUAGUUUGUAUGUCUAAUAAAAGGCAUAUCUUGCAUAUGCUGCACUCCCUCUUUGAAUUUUAAAAGCACAAAAGAAUUGGUUAAAAUAGUGAGAGAAGUCGCCAAGUUAGGAGGUUAAUUUAUGUUAAAAGAAAUGUUCCUGUAUUUAUGGAACCACUGCAGUGGAGAAUGCUGUUUUUUGCUUGUCAUAUCAAUCUACUUAUUUAAUUUAUUGCUUUGUAAUUUAUUGCUUUGUAUGUCAGUUGUUUUAUAUAAAUUCCUAUAGAUUUACUAAAGUAAAAAUGAAGUGUUUUCAGAAUUUUUAUCUAAAUUAUUUAUCAGCAGUAAAGAAGGUAAUAUUUUAAGUCUUGUGAUGUCUCCCUUCUUACAAAUAACUGAAAUUUUGAGGAUCAGACUUGGUAAUAUCUAAGGAACUAUAAAAGUGCCAUUCUUAAGGUUAUAUAUUUCCUCCAUCUCCUAGACUCUCCUAAAAUAUAUCUCUUCGUAAUUAUUAUCUUUUAAAGCAUAAACAAAUGCUACAGAUAUUUGAGAAGUUUGUAACUGAGAUAAGUUUGUUAAAAAAUGAUAUGCUAGACUUUGAGUUGGUAACUGAAUUUAGGCGAUGGCUAGAUAGAUGUUCACUAUUCAUUUUUCUUUCUAUUGUAUGAGUUUGAAAUAGUCGAUAGCGUGGAAUUAAACUAUAUAUAUCACACUUAUUUUGUUUGUUUUUCUAUUUGAAGGAAUUAGCUGAACAACUUAAAGCCCAACUUGAAAAGGCAAAUAAAUUUAAAGAAACUAUAACACAGAUAUCAAAAAAAUCUGGGAUAGAGUGUGUCCUGAUGGGAAAAAGCAUAGGCCAGGGAGACCUGGUUUUGUUCUGGACUCUGUCAUUUACUGUUUGACCUUAUACAAGUCAAACUGGUUUUUAAAUUCUACGCCUACAGAAUGAGAGACUUGAGUUUGCGUCCAUUUUAUAUAAAACAAGUUAUUUUGUUCCACGAUUCAUUCAUGCAUCUGUUAAUGAACAAAGUAGAUAAAAACACC